This 330-nucleotide unclassified non-coding RNA is filed under the name soil metagenome. RNAcentral's name for it is "partial contains 5.8S ribosomal RNA, internal transcribed spacer 2, and large subunit ribosomal RNA". The stretch from base 1 to 121 matches the Rfam family "5.8S ribosomal RNA", at positions 35 to 154 of the family's 154-position model. The record is from RNAcentral.
GAUGAAGAACGCAGCGAAAUGCGAUAAGUAAUGUGAAUUGCAGAAUUCAGUGAAUCAUCGAAUCUUUGAACGCACAUUGCGCCCCCUGGUAUUCCGGGGGGGCAUGCCUGUCCGAGCGUCAUUACAACCCUCAAGCUCAGCUUGGUGUUGGGCCCCGCCGCCCCGGCGGGCCCUAAAGUCAGUGGCGGUGCCGUCCGGCUCCGAGCGUAGUAAUUCUUCUCGCUCUGGAGGUCCGGUCGUGUGCUCGCCAGCAACCCCCAAUUUUUUUCAGGUUGACCUCGGAUCAGGUAGGGAUACCCGCUGAACUUAAGCAUAUCAAUAAGCGGAGGA